AGUGAACGCUGGCGGUGUGCUUAACACAUGCAAGUCGAACGAGAACGGAUUAUAGCUUGCUAUAAUUGUCAGCUAAGUGGCGCACGGGUGAGUAAUGUAUAGGUAAUAUGCCUCUUACUAAGGGAUAACAAAUGGAAACGUUUGCUAAUACCUUAUACUCCUUAUUAACAUAAGUUAAUAAGGGAAAGAUUUAUUGGUAAGAGAUUAGCCUGUAUUGUAUCAGUUAGUUGGUGGGGUAAUGGCUUACCAGGACUAUGACACAUAACUGGUUUGAGAGGAUGAUCAGUCACACUGGAACUGAGACACGGUCCAGACUCCUACGGGAGGCAGCAGUGGGGAAUAUUGCACAAUGGACGGAAGUCUGAUGCAGCAACGCCGCGUGGAGGAUGACACAUUUCGGUGCGUAAACUCCUUUUAUAUGAGAAGAUAAUGACGGUAUUAUAUGAAUAAGCACCGGCUAACUCCGUGCCAGCCGCCGCGGUAA
RNAcentral lists this ribosomal RNA (484 nucleotides) under uncultured bacterium. Its description in RNAcentral is "partial 16S ribosomal RNA". It matches the Rfam family "Bacterial small subunit ribosomal RNA", at positions 29 to 523 of the family's 1533-position model. The record is from RNAcentral.